GAGGGGCAGCGGGGAAGUGGCAACACUUCCGCCGGCGACCGGCGCACGGGUGAGUAACACGUAUGGAACCUGCCCGUAGCAGGGGGAUAAGCGGAAGAAAUUCCGUCUAAUACCGCGUAAUAUCUUUCGGGGGCAUCCCUGAGAGAUUAAAGGAAGCGAUUCCGGCUACGGAUGGGCAUGCGGCGCAUUAGCUAGUCGGCGGGGUAACGGCCCACCGAGGCGACGAUGCGUAGGGGUUCUGAGAGGAAGGUCCCCCACACUGGUACUGAGACACGGACCAGACUCCUACGGGAGGCAGCAGUGAGGAAUAUUGGUCAAUGGGCGAGAGCCUGAACCAGCCAAGUCGCGUGAGGGAAGACGGUCCUAUGGAUUGUAAACCUCUUUUGUCGGGGAGCAAAAAGGCCUCGUGAGGCCACAAGCGAGAGUACCCGAAGAAAAAGCAUCGGCUAACUCCGUGCCAGCAGCCGCGGUAAUACGGAGGAUGCGAGCGUUAUCCGGAUUUAUUGGGUUUAAAGGGUGCGUAGGCGGACUGGAAAGUCAGCGGUAAAAUCGAGAGGCUCAACCUCUUUCCGCCGUUGAAACUGUCGGUCUUGAGUGGGCGAGAAGUAUGCGGAAUGCGUGGUGUAGCGGUGAAAUGCAUAGAUAUCACGCAGAACUCCGAUUGCGAAGGCAGCAUACCGGCGCCCGACUGACGCUGAGGCACGAAAGCGUGGGUAUCGAACAGGAUUAGAUACCCUGGUAGUCCACGCAGUAAACGAUGAAUACUAAUUGUCCGGUCAGAAUGAUGACUGGGUGAUACAGCGAAAGCGUUAAGUAUUCCACCUGGGGAGUACGCCGGCAACGGUGAAACUCAAAGGAAUUGACGGGGGCCCGCACAAGCGGAGGAACAUGUGGUUUAAUUCGAUGAUACGCGAGGAACCUUACCCGGGCUCAAACGUAGAAUGACAGACGGUGAAAGCCGUUCUCCCUUCGGGGCAGUCUACGAGGUGCUGCAUGGUUGUCGUCAGCUCGUGCCGUGAGGUGUCGGCUUAAGUGCCAUAACGAGCGCAACCCCCAUCUACAGUUGCUAACAGGUAAAGCUGAGGACUCUGUGGAGACUGCCGGCGCAAGCUGUGAGGAAGGCGGGGAUGACGUCAAAUCAGCACGGCCCUUACGUCCGGGGCGACACACGUGUUACAAUGGCAGGUACAGCGGGAAGCCAUAUGGCGACAUAGAGCGGAACCCGAAAACCUGUCUCAGUUCGGAUUGGAGUCUGCAACCCGACUCCAUGAAGCUGGAUUCGCUAGUAAUCGCGCAUCAGCCACGGCGCGGUGAAUACGUUCCCGG
RNAcentral lists this ribosomal RNA (1326 nucleotides) under uncultured bacterium. Its description in RNAcentral is "bacterial SSU rRNA". It matches the Rfam family "Bacterial small subunit ribosomal RNA", at positions 64 to 1377 of the family's 1533-position model. The record is from RNAcentral.